This 1073-nucleotide long non-coding RNA is filed under the name Sus scrofa (pig). Its description in RNAcentral is "lncRNA (ENSSSCG00055009695.1)". Lineage: Eukaryota; Metazoa; Chordata; Mammalia; Artiodactyla; Suidae. The record is from RNAcentral.
GUCCUUCCUGGUCUUUUGUUAACUGAUCACCUGUCUGGGCACCAAGAAUUGACAGCUUCAACUGGAAAACUCAUUUAGGUGGAGUUCUGAGCAAGUCUGCUAAUGAUGAACUUCCUUCUUCAGUUCUUGACAGAAACCGUCUCCAGUGUUUCCAUUGCCUCAACGCAGCUCGGAGGACUUCUCUGCCCACUGUGGUCUGGCUGCCCCCCCGCUCCCGGCACCCACUCCUCCUGGAAGGGCUGCUCCUGCCAAGGUCGUCAACAACCUCCUUGCUCCAGACCAUGCCCAGCGCGCCUCCUUGGUCCGCACUGUCCUUGGCAUCCUGUCUCCGGGGACCAGCUCCCAGGCUCGGCUCCUGCCUCUGCACCGCCUCCCUCUCCAUCUCUGUUGCAGGCUCUCCUUCCCACCCCCGGCCUUGAACACAGCCCUCCUCUGCUUUUUCCCCAUCACAACGGGGCUAUUUCUCCUGUGUGUCGCAGGCACCGAAUUUCAUUAUGUCACAAGCGGAGCGAUGCCUCUCAUACCCCCACCCAUACCUGCCCAGACCUGAGAGCUGCUGUCCUAUGCUCCCCGCCCAGGAAAGCCACCAUCGUCCACAAGGGGGCUUGUCCCCUCCCCCCCCCACCAUCCCCCACAAAUCGUUGCCCAGAGCUGCCCUUGACCUUUCAGAUCCCCUCACCUCUGCCUCCUUCCAUCCACCCCGGAUGCCACGAUUCCUGCCUGGAUUCCUGGAAGUGCCCCCUCACUAGUCUCCCUUCUCUCCAACCACUUCUCCAAACCACAGACCGAAUGCUCUUUCUAAAAUGAAAAUCUUGGAGUUCCCAUGGUGGCUCAGCAGGUGAAGAACCCAACAUAGUGUCCAUGAGGAUGCGGGUUCGAUUCCUGGCCUCGCUCAGUGGGUUAAGGAGUAGGCAUUGCUGCAAGCUGCAGUGUAGGUGGCAGAUGCUGCUGAGAUGCCAUUGCUGUGGCUGUGGCUAGGCUGGCAGCUGCAGCUCCCACUGACCCCUAGCCUAGGAACUUCCAUAUGCCGCAGGUUCAGCCCUUGAAAGAAAAAAUAAAAUAAUAAAAUAAAA